GAUGAACGCUGGCGGCGUGCCUAAUACAUGCAAGUCGAGCGAACAGACGAGGAGCUUGCUCCUCUGACGUUAGCGGCGGACGGGUGAGUAACACGUGGAGAACCUACCUAUAAGACUGGGAUAACUUCGGGAAACCGGAGCUAAUACCGGAUAAUAUAUUGAACCGCAUGGUUCAAUAGUGAAAGACGGUUUUGCUGUCACUUAUAGAUGGAUCCGCGUCGCAUUAGCUAGUUGGUAAGGUAACGGCUUACAAAGGCAACGAUGCGUAGCCGACCGGAGAGGGUGAUCGGCCACACUGGAACUGAGACACGGUCCAGACUCCUACGGGAGGCAGCAGUAGGGAAUCUUCCGCAAUGGGCGAAAGCUUGACGGAGCAACGCCGCGUGAGUGAUGAAGGUCUUCGGAUCGUAAAACUCUGUUAUUAGGGAAGAACAAAUGUGUAAGUAACUAUGCACGUCUUGACGGUACCUAAUCAGAAAGCCACGGCUAACUACGUG
RNAcentral lists this ribosomal RNA (497 nucleotides) under uncultured bacterium. RNAcentral's name for it is "partial 16S ribosomal RNA". It matches the Rfam family "Bacterial small subunit ribosomal RNA", at positions 28 to 507 of the family's 1533-position model. The record is from RNAcentral.